UACGGAGGCCCCAAGCGUUGUUCGGAUUUAUUGGGCGUAAAGGGUGCGUAGGCGGCGUGGUAAGUCUGGUGUGAAAGGCGGGGGCUCAACCCUCGGACUGCAUUGGAUACUGCCAUGCUAGAGGACUGGAGAGGAGAAUGGAAUUCACGGUGGAGCAGUGAAAUGCGUAGAUAUCGUGAGGAAGGCCAGUGGCGAAGGCGAUUCUCUGGACAGUACCUGACGCUGAGGCACGAAGGCUGGGGGAGCGAACAGG
This 253-nucleotide ribosomal RNA is filed under the name uncultured bacterium. RNAcentral's name for it is "partial 16S ribosomal RNA". It matches the Rfam family "Bacterial small subunit ribosomal RNA", at positions 524 to 776 of the family's 1533-position model. The record is from RNAcentral.